RNAcentral lists this ribosomal RNA (431 nucleotides) under Salmonella enterica subsp. enterica serovar Infantis. RNAcentral describes it as "bacterial SSU rRNA". It matches the Rfam family "Bacterial small subunit ribosomal RNA", at positions 1084 to 1515 of the family's 1533-position model. Lineage: Bacteria; Pseudomonadati; Pseudomonadota; Gammaproteobacteria; Enterobacterales; Enterobacteriaceae. The record is from RNAcentral. RNAcentral also lists the same sequence under 4 other names.
GUCCCGCAACGAGCGCAACCCUUAUCCUUUGUUGCCAGCGGUCCGGCCGGGAACUCAAAGGAGACUGCCAGUGAUAAACUGGAGGAAGGUGGGGAUGACGUCAAGUCAUCAUGGCCCUUACGACCAGGGCUACACACGUGCUACAAUGGCGCAUACAAAGAGAAGCGACCUCGCGAGAGCAAGCGGACCUCAUAAAGUGCGUCGUAGUCCGGAUUGGAGUCUGCAACUCGACUCCAUGAAGUCGGAAUCGCUAGUAAUCGUGGAUCAGAAUGCCACGGUGAAUACGUUCCCGGGCCUUGUACACACCGCCCGUCACACCAUGGGAGUGGGUUGCAAAAGAAGUAGGUAGCUUAACCUUCGGGAGGGCGCUUACCACUUUGUGAUUCAUGACUGGGGUGAAGUCGUAACAAGGUAACCGUAGGGGAACCUGC